GGGUAGAGUAAUGCGUGACCAACCUGCCCCAUGCUCCAGAAUAGCUCUUGGAAACGGGUGGUAAUGCUGGAUGCUCCAACUUGACGCAUGUCUUGUUGGGAAAGUGUUUAGUGGCAUGGGAUGGGGUCGCGUCCUAUCAGCUUGUAGGCGGGGUAAUGGCCCACCUAGGCUUCGACGGGUAGCCGGCCUGAGAGGGCGGACGGCCACAUUGGGACUGAGAUACGGCCCAGACUCCUACGGGAGGCAGCAGCA
Molecule: ribosomal RNA, 252 nt
Filed under: uncultured Gardnerella sp.
Lineage: Bacteria; Bacillati; Actinomycetota; Actinomycetes; Bifidobacteriales; Bifidobacteriaceae
Description: partial 16S ribosomal RNA
Rfam family: Bacterial small subunit ribosomal RNA
Source: RNAcentral